This 22-nucleotide microRNA is filed under the name Eisenia fetida (common brandling worm). RNAcentral describes it as "Efe-Mir-137-P4_5p* (star (passenger))". Lineage: Eukaryota; Metazoa; Annelida; Clitellata; Crassiclitellata; Lumbricidae. The record is from RNAcentral.
UAUGUAUUUUCUUGCAACUAGC